Felis catus (domestic cat) is the source of this 771-nucleotide long non-coding RNA. RefSeq lists it as uncharacterized. The record is from RefSeq and is a predicted model, not a curated record. Lineage: Eukaryota; Metazoa; Chordata; Mammalia; Carnivora; Felidae. The transcript has 3 exons.
GGCGCCGAGGGAGCACCCACCCCCUGCACGCGCCAUCGGCCGGGGUGACUAAUCCGCCGGCUGGCUCCCUGCGCCCCCUCCCCGGCUCAUUCGGCCCGCGGGGCGAGGGAAGGUGGCCGGACCCGGCGACACGCCCCUGCCCGCGACCGGCGGGGAAGCGCAGAUGCUGGCACCGAGGUGCCUCAGCCAGCCGCACCUCGGGUCCUGCGGGCAUCCCCUCCGGGCCGGGAGGUCAGGCCCCAGAGCCCGAGGCCCGCCUCACCACCGCCCUCCAGAACGGGGAAGACGAGGCCCAGAGAGGGCCAGGGACUUGUCCAAGCUCCACAGCGAGGGAGGCAGAGCCAGGGCACCGUGGUGAGGGCGUGCGAGGACAGACUGCAGGCUCCUGGAGGCGUCUGCGAGCUCAGUCUGCGCCCUGUGCAACCGCGGCCCGGCAGGUGCCUCUGGCUGGGUCUGAGAUUCCACGGGCCACCUGCCUCCUCACACCACUUCUCCUGGGGGCGCCGUGUGGCUUCCUGCGCAUCACUCAACCCCUCUGGCCCCAGCGGUGUCCUUGUCACACAACAGGCAGACUGUACUAAACGGUGGCCGAGGUUCUCAGGCGGCUCGGAGGCUGACGGCAAUGGUGGGUGGCAGGGAGGAGGCUGGACCUGUGGCCAGUCUGUCCCCUCCACCGGGAGUGCCCCAUCCAGCCGAGCGCACAUCACCCCCGGUUCAAAUGACAGAGGCCUCUCGGGUUUUACCUAAGCAUAAAAACUCAUCAUGGUUUUA